UGGGGAAUUUUGGACAAUGGGCGCAAGCCUGAUCCAGCCAUGCCGCGUGCGGGAAGAAGGCCUUCGGGUUGUAAACCGCUUUUGUCAGGGAAGAAACGCUCUGGGCUAAUACCCUGGGGUAAUGACGGUACCUGAAGAAUAAGCACCGGCUAACUACGUGCCAGCAGCCGCGGUAAUACGUAGGGUGCAAGCGUUAAUCGGAAUUACUGGGCGUAAAGCGUGCGCAGGCGGUUAUGCAAGACAGAUGUGAAAUCCCCGGGCUCAACCUGGGAACUGCAUUUGUGACUGUAUAGCUAGAGUACGGUAGAGGGGGAUGGAAUUCCGCGUGUAGCAGUGAAAUGCGUAGAUAUGCGGAGGAACACCGAUGGCGAAGGCAAUCCCCUGGACCUGUACUGACGCUCAUGCACGAAAGCUAGGGUAGCGAAGAGGAUUAGAUACCCCCGUAGUCCCUGAGCGGGCUGGCAAGGCGCAU
This 472-nucleotide ribosomal RNA is filed under the name uncultured bacterium. Its description in RNAcentral is "bacterial SSU rRNA". It matches the Rfam family "Bacterial small subunit ribosomal RNA", at positions 355 to 825 of the family's 1533-position model. The record is from RNAcentral.